CGCCUUUUGAGCGUUUCCGUGAUCUUCUGUACACUGAUCGUAGAGGUUACUCCACACAUGUAUGUGUCACUUCGUGUGUAAUCCUUGCGAAUGAAAUGUUGAUAAAAAAAGGCAGCCAACACGGUGCGAAACUUUUUUCGCUUAUGUUUGGUCUUGCAGGAGGAGUGUAUAUUUUUUUACCAGUCUUUAAAGCAGCUGUGGUACAUCAAAGGCAACAGGAGGCCCUAAAAGCGACGGCGAACGAGACGGAAACACAAAUUAUUACUGAAUCGGAAUCCGGACAGGCAUCAUAACAUUGUCGAACACAUUGAACGGUAUUUCUGAAACAGAAAUGAAAGUGCCCAAAGGAGCAUUGUAUUUUGCAUCGCUAGCAUCACUAGCCCUAUUGUUUGCUGAUAUGCUUUCUCGUAAAAGAGAUCCAUUAGGAGACUCUGAAAUACAUAGAUUGUCUCGUUUCAAAGAAUUUGAAGACAUGUCCAAAAAGAAUAAGGAAGAGGAAAUGUUUGAUUAGUUUAAAUGGGAUGGAAAUGGAAAGCAGAGAAUUGUUAUACAAGCAUUUUUAUAGAGUUUGGUUUGUUGGAUAAAUGGAGAAUCGAACUGUGUAGCAACUGUGAUGCCUAAGAAAGGUGGUAAGAUGGCUAGAUAAGCACAGACUUGUGUAUAAAUGACGAGAGAGACGAGGGUUUCUACCUUUCUCUCAUGGAUACCUGUACUUUUCCAAUGAAGAAAAAUUAUGUACCAUAUACAUUGUAUUUUUAUAGAUCACAGAACUAAUAGCAAUAGAACACUUUCAAAACAUCCACUACUAUAGCAGGAACAAGAUGGACAUUCUGUUGUUUAGUGAUCUUAUUAAAAUUAUACUGAAUUGUUGACGAUUCAGAACGGUUACGGUACGAGAAAAUUGUGAAAACAUCUAUAUUUUACCUUCUCUUGGAUAUGAUGUUUAAAUAUACCCCCGAAUUACUGGGUGAUUUUAACAUUUUGACAUGUAAGUUAAUUUGCAGUCAAGAACAAUCUUGUUUAAAUGUGUGUUGUUCAUGUAAAAAAAUAAAUCAAAUUGUAACAUG
This is a long non-coding RNA of Mizuhopecten yessoensis (Yesso scallop), 1067 nucleotides long. RefSeq lists it as uncharacterized. The record is from RefSeq and is a predicted model, not a curated record. Lineage: Eukaryota; Metazoa; Mollusca; Bivalvia; Pectinida; Pectinidae. The transcript has 2 exons.